RNAcentral lists this ribosomal RNA (414 nucleotides) under uncultured bacterium. RNAcentral describes it as "bacterial SSU rRNA". It matches the Rfam family "Bacterial small subunit ribosomal RNA", at positions 355 to 775 of the family's 1533-position model. The record is from RNAcentral.
UCGAGGAUCUUCGGCAAUGAGCGCAAGCUUGACCGAGCGACGCCGCGUGAGCGAUGAAGGCCUUCGGGUUGUAAAGCUCUUUAGGGGGGGAGAAAAGCCCGCAAGGGUGUGAUCUAUCCCCAAAAUAAGCACGGGCUAAGUUCGUGCCAGCAGCCGCGGUAAGACGAACCGUGCGAACGUUGUUCGGAAUCACUGGGCUUAAAGGGCGCGUAGGCGGGCUGACAAGUCUGGGGUGAAAUCCCGCGGCUCAACCGUGGAACUGCCUCAGAUACUGUCGGCCUCGAGGGAGGUAGGGGCGUGCGGAACUGUGAGUGGAGCGGUGAAAUGCGUUGAUAUUCACAGGAACUCCGGUGGCGAAAGCGGCGCGCUGGACCUCUUCUGACGCUGAGGCGCGAAAGCUAGGGGAGCAAACGG